Molecule: ribosomal RNA, 360 nt
Filed under: Salmonella enterica
Lineage: Bacteria; Pseudomonadati; Pseudomonadota; Gammaproteobacteria; Enterobacterales; Enterobacteriaceae
Also listed under: 2 other names
Description: bacterial LSU rRNA
Rfam family: Bacterial large subunit ribosomal RNA
Source: RNAcentral
AAUCCAUAGGUUAAUGAGGCGAACCGGGGGAACUGAAACAUCUAAGUACCCCGAGGAAAAGAAAUCAACCGAGAUUCCCCCAGUAGCGGCGAGCGAACGGGGAGGAGCCCAGAGCCUGAAUCAGCAUGUGUGUUAGUGGAAGCGUCUGGAAAGGCGCGCGAUACAGGGUGACAGCCCCGUACACAAAAGCGCAUGUGUUGUGAGCUCGAUGAGUAGGGCGGGACACGUGGUAUCCUGUCUGAAUAUGGGGGGACCAUCCUCCAAGGCUAAAUACUCCUGACUGACCGAUAGUGAACCAGUACCGUGAGGGAAAGGCGAAAAGAACCCCGGCGAGGGGAGUGAAAAAGAACCUGAAACCGU